RNAcentral lists this transfer RNA (70 nucleotides) under Sus scrofa (pig). It matches the Rfam family "tRNA". Rfam says of the family: Transfer RNA (tRNA) molecules are approximately 80 nucleotides in length. Their secondary structure includes four short double-helical elements and three loops (D, anti-codon, and T loops). Lineage: Eukaryota; Metazoa; Chordata; Mammalia; Artiodactyla; Suidae. The record is from Rfam by way of RNAcentral.
CCCUAGAUGUCUAGUUGUUAGGACUCAGUGCUUUCACUGCUAUGGGCUGGGUUCAAUCCCUGUCUGGGGA